GUGUGGAAGUGAGGCUUUUCUUUCCCCUGAGGUUAAGCCACUUCUAAGUUACAGGGGUCAAACGACAUGUCCACGGCCAGCUAUUCACCUUGUUCCCCAUGUGUUUGCUGACUCUUCUCUUUUCCUUCCUCUGUUUUUAAUUCAUCAGAGUCUUUCAGUGCAAUGAAAAGAUGUUGCUUGGUCCUCAAUGAAUUCCGUGGAAGUACCAAAGGGAAAGAAUUCCCUAAGACCAGCGCUGCGUUGGUGAGCGGUCAAAACAGCUGCCUUAAAACAACAAAGACUUUUGUGGCCCUCUCCUCUGUCCCUUGAAGGUAAGGAAUGGCAAAGAAGGAAAAUACAGCCACCCCUCUGGAAUAGUCACACCUGCUGGAAGAGUCAUACCUGCUGACAAGACAGACCUGCCAAAACCCUGAGGACGGUAGAGACUUGUUCCUCCCACAAUGUUUAAUGGAUCGUCCUUCUCUGCGCUUCCUCAUGGGCUGGACCCAGCUUCACAUCACAUCAGGUCAUCGAGUCUGGUGCACAGAGAAGGAAUGCAAGCUGUAGUGGGAGAUUUGCAUCUAGAAAAGGGUAACCUGCAGGACAUUUUGCGUGGUCUCAGAUGACUUGUGACUGCAAAACCUUUUGGACUUUGGCUUUGUGGGUACGCAUCUGUUCACUAAGUCUUAUUUGGUCUAGGUCUGCUACACUAUUUCAACUUGAAUGCUAGUAACCAUUCCAAGGGCUCUCUGUGGAAGUUUAAUAGGAGCACGUGAAGCUAAUUCCUUCUUUUAUGAGGGAAAUCCCUAAGUGGAGAAAAAGGUGAGAAUCUCAUUUACUUAAGAGGGCAACUCUGGGUUAGCCGAACAAAAAUUGCAUCCCCUUUCUCUGAACUGUGCACUGUUCAAAGCCAAGUCUAACACUUCAGCAACUGAUGGACUUUAUUUUCCUCUCCAU
Molecule: long non-coding RNA, 936 nt
Filed under: Calidris pugnax (ruff)
Lineage: Eukaryota; Metazoa; Chordata; Aves; Charadriiformes; Scolopacidae
Description: lncRNA (ENSCPUG00000011571.1)
Source: RNAcentral